Molecule: transfer RNA, 89 nt
Filed under: Actinoplanes sp. NBRC 103695
Lineage: Bacteria; Bacillati; Actinomycetota; Actinomycetes; Micromonosporales; Micromonosporaceae
Description: tRNA-Gln
Source: RNAcentral
CGCCGACAUGUCGGACGAGGAGCGGAGCCGCCUCUGGGGCGCUUGGGGUCGUUGUCUCACCGAGCAUGGGGUUCCGGCCCCGCCGGCGG